CCUACGGGGGGCAGCAGUGGGGAAUAUUGGACAAUGGGGGCAACCCUGAUCCAGCCAUGCCGCGUGUGUGAAGAAGGCCCUCGGGUUGUAAAGCACUUUCAGUGAGGAAGAACGCCUGGUGGUUAAUACCCAUCAGGAAAGACAUCACUCACAGAAGAAGCACCGGCUAACUCCGUGCCAGCAGCCGCGGUAAUACGGAGGGUGCGAGCGUUAAUCGGAAUUACUGGGCGUAAAGCGCGCGUAGGUGGCUUGAUAAGCCGGUUGUGAAAGCCCCGGGCUCAACCUGGGAACGGCAUCCGGAACUGUCAAGCUAGAGUGCAGGAGAGGAAGGUAGAAUUCCCGGUGUAGCGGUGAAAUGAGUAGAGAUCGGGAGGAAUACCAGUGGCGAAGGCGGCCUUCUGGACUGACACUGCCACUGAGGUGCGAAAGCGUGGGUAGCAAACCGGAUUAGAUACCCUAGUAGUC
Molecule: ribosomal RNA, 465 nt
Filed under: Vreelandella stevensii
Lineage: Bacteria; Pseudomonadati; Pseudomonadota; Gammaproteobacteria; Oceanospirillales; Halomonadaceae
Description: partial 16S ribosomal RNA
Rfam family: Bacterial small subunit ribosomal RNA
Source: RNAcentral